Molecule: ribosomal RNA, 497 nt
Filed under: uncultured bacterium
Lineage: Bacteria
Description: partial 16S ribosomal RNA
Rfam family: Bacterial small subunit ribosomal RNA
Source: RNAcentral
GAUGAACGCUGGCGGCGUGCCUAAUACAUGCAAGUCGAGCGAACAGACGAGGAGCUUGCUCCUCUGACGUUAGCGGCGGACGGGUGAGUAACACGUGGAUAACCUACCUAUAAGACUGGGAUAACUUCGGGAAACCGGAGCUAAUACCGGAUAAUAUAUUGAACCGCAUGGUUCAAUAGUGAAAGACGGUUUUGCUGUCACUUAUCGAUGGAUCCGCGCCGCAUUAGCUAGUUGGUAAGGUAACGGCUUACCAAGGCAACGAUGCGUAGCCGACCUGAGAGAGUGAUCGGCCACACUGGAAGUGAGACACGGUCCAGACUCCUACGGGAGGCAGCAGUAGGGAAUCUUCCGCAAUGGGCGAAAGCUUGACGGAGCAACGCCGCGUGAGUGAUGAAGGUCUUCGGAUCGUAAAACUCUGUUAUUAGGGAAGAACAAAUGUGUAAGUAACUAUGCACGUCUUGACGGUACCUAAUCAGAAAGCCACGGCUAACUACGUG